CAAUAAAGUCGCGCGAUUUCCGCCAGCAAAUCGCAGCAAAGAGAUUCUGCGCAUGCACUUCGACGGUAUAUGUUCUUCGUUGUCGCCGAACCGGUCAUCAUCGUAACAGUAUAGUGCCUUGCAAGUGCCUCGUAUUCUAAUUUUAAUAUUAAAUUGAAUCAGUAGUUUGCCUCAUAUCGAAUCAUCUCGGCGGAUGAAAGAAACUGCAGGAAAGUUAACGUAGAACAUCAUUGGAAAAUUAGAAUUUUUGUAUAAUGGUUGAACGGCAACAGUACAUAAAGGUCAUAUAGUAUAUAAAGGUGGUGUUGCAAUCGUUAGAAGUACUUGGUUAACACCUUGAAAAAAAGAAGUGUUUUGGCCACCUAUAAAGGAUCGAAAGAAAUUUGAUAAAAUUUUAUAAAAUACUGACGUUGCGGAUCAAAAUUGGAAACUUUAUUCAGUAGUACGAUGCUUAUAUGAAACUGAUGAUUUACAAAAAGCUCGACAAAAAUGUAAAUUGUUAGAAGAAACAUCUGAUUUACAAAUAGAUCAAGACAAUAAAACUUUCAAAAGGAAAAGAGUGCCUCGUCAAAUUAGUUUAAGCAAUAAAAAGAAAGUGGUGAGAUCCAUGUUUGGCCAUCAAAAUUAAAAACCAAAUUUCUAAAUUCGAUUCAACCUCAAGAAAAAACUCCAAUUUUUAGAAAUGAAACAGAUUCUUCCAAUGUAAAUUCUUUUGAAGUUUCCGAACAGACGCUAUGUAAUAGUUCAAAAUUUCUUACGUCUAAUAUAUUUCAUGAACAAGGACCUAGUAAUAGUUCAAAAUUUUUUACGUCUAAUGUAUGUCAUGAACAAGGAUCUAAUGUAGACUAACAGAAUUAGUAGAUAUCAUACGCACGAGAUUAAUGCAGAAAAUAGUAUUACAGAAUCAAAAGGGUGUCUUAUUUUAAGAGGGCACCUCGAAUAAUUUCGAAGGAAGUGAUUUUCAAAGAAAAUAUUUCAGACAACAGUUGUAUUGUUUCAAGGGGGACAUAAGACAGUACUAUUAGUUUGAGCUCGAAUGGCGUCGUCAAGCUCAGGUCAAAGUCACAUCAAUUUUUUUAAAUGGAACAUACUGUUUUUGAUUCCAAACUCUAAUAGCUGGUGUCAAGAGCUUUCCAAAACUCUAUAAGAAAGUUUAUUUU
This is a long non-coding RNA of Solenopsis invicta (red fire ant), 1160 nucleotides long. RefSeq lists it as uncharacterized. The transcript is spliced from 6 exons. NCBI's taxonomy places the organism in Eukaryota, Metazoa, Arthropoda, Insecta, Hymenoptera, Formicidae. The record is from RefSeq and is a predicted model, not a curated record.